GUCGAGAUGACCGAGUUGGUUAAGGUGCCAGACUCAAGAUUUCUUGCACUUCAAAAAGUGUGUGUUCUGGUGGGGCAACCCGCGCGAGUUCGAAUCUCGUUCUCGACA
Molecule: transfer RNA, 108 nt
Filed under: Xylaria sp. FL1042
Lineage: Eukaryota; Fungi; Ascomycota; Sordariomycetes; Xylariales; Xylariaceae
Description: tRNA-Leu
Rfam family: tRNA
About the family: Transfer RNA (tRNA) molecules are approximately 80 nucleotides in length. Their secondary structure includes four short double-helical elements and three loops (D, anti-codon, and T loops).
Source: RNAcentral